RNAcentral lists this ribosomal RNA (404 nucleotides) under uncultured organism. RNAcentral's name for it is "bacterial SSU rRNA". It matches the Rfam family "Bacterial small subunit ribosomal RNA", at positions 355 to 774 of the family's 1533-position model. The record is from RNAcentral.
UGAGGAAUUUUCCGCAAUGGGCGAAAGCCUGACGGAGCAAUGCCGCGUGGAGGAUGACAGCCUGUGGGUCGUAAACUCCUUUUCUCAGAAAAGAAGAUCUGACGGUAUCUGAGGAAUAAGCAUCGGCUAACUCCGUGCCAGCAGCCGCGGUAAUACGGAGGAUGCAAGCGUUAUCCGGAAUGAUUGGGCGUAAAGCGUCUGUAGGUGGUUUAUUAAGUCUACUGUUAAAGAUCAGGGCUUAACCCUGAGCCGGCAGUGGAAACUAAUAAGCUUGAGUACGGUAGGGGCAGAGGGAAUUCCCGGUGUAGCGGUGAAAUGCGUAGAGAUCGGGAAGAACACCAAUGGCGAAAGCACUCUGCUGGGCCGAAACUGACACUGAGAGACGAAAGCUAGGGGAGCGAAUG